Molecule: ribosomal RNA, 497 nt
Filed under: uncultured bacterium
Lineage: Bacteria
Description: partial 16S ribosomal RNA
Rfam family: Bacterial small subunit ribosomal RNA
Source: RNAcentral
GAUGAACGCUGGCGGCGUGCCUAAUACAUGCAAGUCGAGCGAACGGACGAGAAGCUUGCUUCUCUGAUGUUAGCGGCGGACGGGUGAGUAACACGUGGAUAACCUACCUAUAAGACUGGGAUAACUUCGGGAAACCGGAGCUAAUACCGGAUAAUAUUUUGAACCGCAUGGUUCAAAAGUGAAAGACGGUCUUGCUGUCACUUAUAGAUGGAUCCGCGCUGCAUUAGCUAGCUGGUAAGGUAACGGCUUACCAAGGCAACGAUGCAUAGCCGACCUGAGAGGGUGAUCGGCCACACUGGAACUGAGACACGGUCCAGACUCCUACGGGAGGCAGCAGUAGGGAAUCUUCCGCAAUGGGCGAAAGCCUGACGGAGAAACGCCGCGUGAGUGAUGAAGGUCUUCGGAUCGUAAAACUCUGUUAUUAGGGAAGAACAUAUGUGUAAGUAACUGUGCACAUCUUGACGGUACCUAAUCAGAAAGCCACGGCUAACUACGUG